CUGCCUGGACACCGCACAUUGUGGAAAGGGUGCAUUGUUGAAGGAGUGAAGACUUUGUGUCCGUCAAGAACUGGUCUCUGUCUCAAGACUUCAGGUCUCUGAGAAUUGGAAGAGUGCCAAUUUCUCCAAGUUGGAGCUGUUGGAUUGGAUUGGAAUCAAU
This is a long non-coding RNA of Amblyraja radiata (thorny skate), 160 nucleotides long. RefSeq lists it as uncharacterized. NCBI's taxonomy places the organism in Eukaryota, Metazoa, Chordata, Chondrichthyes, Rajiformes, Rajidae. The record is from RefSeq and is a predicted model, not a curated record. The transcript has 3 exons.